UACGAAGGGUGCAAGCGUUGUUCGGAAUUACUGGGCGUAAAGGGUUCGUAGGCGGGAAUGUAAGUUGAAUGUGAAAACCCCGGGCUUAACCUGGGACGUGCAUCCAAACUGCGUUCUUGAGUGUCUGAGAGGGUCGUGGAAGUUGCUGGUGUAGGAGUGACAUCCGUAGAGAUCAGCAGGAACACCGGAGGCGAAAGCGACGACCUGGCAGAACACUGACGCUGAGGAACGAAAGCGUGGGGAGCAAACAGG
RNAcentral lists this ribosomal RNA (252 nucleotides) under uncultured bacterium. Its description in RNAcentral is "partial 16S ribosomal RNA". It matches the Rfam family "Bacterial small subunit ribosomal RNA", at positions 524 to 776 of the family's 1533-position model. The record is from RNAcentral.